UGGCGACCGGCGGACGGGUGCGUAACGCGUAUGCAACCUGCCUGACACAGGGGGAUAAUCCGAAGAAAUUUGGUCUAAUACCCCAUAAUACCGAUAUAGGCAUCUAUGUUGGUUGAAAGCUUUGGUGGUGUCAGAUGGGCAUGCGUUGUAUUAGCUAGUUGGUGAGGUAACGGCUCACCAAGGCGACGAUACAUAGGGGGACUGAGAGGUUAACCCCCCACACUGGUACUGAGACACGGACCAGACUCCUACGGGAGGCAGAUG
Molecule: ribosomal RNA, 264 nt
Filed under: uncultured bacterium
Lineage: Bacteria
Description: partial 16S ribosomal RNA
Rfam family: Bacterial small subunit ribosomal RNA
Source: RNAcentral